Molecule: long non-coding RNA, 28553 nt
Filed under: Malus domestica (apple)
Lineage: Eukaryota; Viridiplantae; Streptophyta; Magnoliopsida; Rosales; Rosaceae
Description: long non-coding RNA (MDOM_LNC007988)
Source: RNAcentral
UUUAAUGGACAAGACUUUGGACGAAGGUUGCAACAAAAACCAGUUUAUCCAGUGUGUCAAUGUCGGCCUCUUAUGCGUACAAGAAGAUGCAAACGAUCGGCCUGCCAUGUCAAACGUUAUCACCCUGCUUGACAAUGAAACUGCAACCUCUCCAUCUCCUAAACAACCAGGGUUUCUCACAAGGAGAGGCAAAUCCAGCACAGCUUCUUCUUCUAGUAAGCUAGAAGCUAUAUCUGAAAUAACCACCAGUAUAGUAGAAGGUAGAUAAUUAAAGGACGGUUGGUACUCUAGUUUUUUACUCUUUUUUCACGUCUCAGUUUUUUCCUUUUUUAUAUUUAACACUUAUCGCUGUAAUUAUAAAAGCAUGUAUCUAAUGUUUCUGGUCAGAAAAGUUUGAGUGUGACCUCUUGGCAGUGUGACUUGGUUUCAUCGUCUAUUCUUUUCUUUCUUUUUCUCAGAUUAAUCCUCGAUCGAGUUCUUGAUCAACUUAUCAUGAAAUCAACUUAGAAUGAGUGUUUUUUCUUUCUUUCUUUCUUUUUAUGGGUUUAGGGAUUCGAUUAUGUGGAUUUCAAUUAUAUAAGCGAUUUAUGGUUAAUGAUAGGUUUAAUAUACGGAGAUUUAGAUAGGGAAGUGAUUUUUGUACGCGCUUUAUCACACUCAAACUCAUACAGUUGCAACGUAACAAAAUCACAAAAGUAGAUCGUGUACGAAUCCAAAACAAAAGCACACAGCUUCACCAAACUAAGCAUUCAAACCACCAUGAUUAUCACCAAACACAGAUUAUAAAUGUAAAGCAUUCCACUGUUCUACAAAACGCUGGAAUGGAAUCCUCAAAACCGUUCCAUUCUUGAAUAGACAAGGAGAUGAAUGCAAUUACUAGUUCCACUCUCGCAUUCCGACCAACCAAAUAGAUGUCGUUUUCUUAUCUGGAAUGUUAAACAGCGAUUGUGGAAAUCAAUUACAUCGAAAACGGACUGGUAAUGAAGCCUAUGAAGGGGUUCGCUUUCAACGGACCUGAAACCUUAGGUUUAUUCAUUUGAAGGAAUCUAUUUGCACUUGCGUUUAUGUUUUCCCAAUUGGAAUGUUUUUUUUAUUGUUGGUAACGAGAGUAAAUCGAUCUUUGCUCCUUAUUAUACAAUAAUUACAUAACUUGUGACCUAAGUAAAGCUAAGAAUCCAUAUUCGGGUUCGACAUAAUUUUUUGUGUUAGUAAGAUUUGUCAUCGAAAUUGGUUAACUACACAGAUUGAAUUUCUGCGUUAAAAAGCUCGAUGAUUCCGUGCAUAGAUCGAUCAUAUUCCUCUGCAGAGUUUGUCCGCUGACAUCUAUUGAGUUAGUAAUAAUAUCAUAAUUAGAAUUUCUCAACAAUUGUAAUACACUUCAUUAUUAUUUGUUUACAAGAGGGAAGUCCUUUCUUAUAGAGGGCCAAAAACUACACAACUAGUCCUAACAAGUGGACAAACCAAAUGAUGAUUACAUGAGGAAAACACCGAAGAGGAAAAUAAGGAGAAAAGUAAAGCAAAGUAAUGAUGGCUAGCUAUAAAGUAAAGUAAUGAUGGCUAGCUAGAGGAAUAAUUACAAGUGUAUUGUCUAUACCAAUAAUGUCUAGCAGCUAUUGUUGACACUCUCCCUCAAGUUGGUGCAUAGAUGUCAUGAAUGCCCAACUUGCUUAGUGAGUUGUGAAAUACUGAACUUGUGACUGCUUUGGUGAGCAUGUCUGCUAAUUAAUCUUCAGAUUUAACGAAUGGAACUUCAAUAAGUCUUGCCUCAAUUUUUCUUUAAUAAAAUGUCUAUCCACCUCCACAUGUUUGGUUCGAUCAUGUUGAACUGGAUUGUGAACAAUGUCAAUUGCAGCCUUGUUGUCACAAUGUAGACGCAUAGCAUGCUUGGGCCUAAAUCCCAAAUCUCUUAGUAAAUUCUUCACCCAAAGCAGUUCACAUACUCCAUGUGCCAAGCUCCGAUAUUCUGCUUCAGCACUUGAUCUAGCAACAACCCUUUGUUUCUUACUACGUCAAGAGACUAGAUUUCCUCCAACAAUAACAAAGUAUCCUGAUGUUGAUCGUCUGUUAGUUACAUCACUAGCCCAAUCAGUAUCAGUGUAGCCUUUAAUGUCUAGAUGAUCAUGUUUUGAAAAUAUUAAUCCUUUCCUAGGAGCUGACUUUAAAUACCUCAAGAUACGGUUUACAACAUCCAUGUGUGUUUCACUUGGUGCAUGCAUAAACUAGCUUACCAUGCUGACUUCAUAUGCUAUAUCUGGUCUAGUAUGUGCAAGAUAUAUUAGCUUACCAACAAUUUGUUGAUAUCUCUCUUUGGUGGUAGGUAUUUGAUCAGGAUAUUCACCAAGUUUGUGAUUCAACUCAUUUGGGUUAUCUGCUGGUUUGCAUGCUAGCAUCUCAAUUUCCGGGAAAAUAUCAAGAACAUAUUUCCGUUGUGAUAAAAAUACUCCUUGUUGUGAGCGGGCCACCUCAAUGCCCAAGAAAUGCUUUAAGGCACCGAGAUCUUUCAUCUCAAAUUCACUUGAUAGAUACUUUUGCAGUGUUGCCUUCUCUUCUGGAUCAUUUCCUGUAACCACCAUGUCAUCCAUAUAUACAAUAAGAGCAGUGAUUUUACCUUUAUUAUGCUUUAAGAAAAGAGUAUGAUCUGAGUUGCUUUGCUUGUAUCCAAAAAAAUUCAUCGAUUUGGUAAAUCUCCCAAACCAAGCUCUCGGUGAUUGAUUUAAACCAUACAACUACUUUUUUAGUUUACAAAAGUUGUUGGUCUGAUUGGGAUCUAGCUUGCAUCCUGGGGGAAGCUCCAUAUAAACUUCUUCUAAAUCUCCAUGCAGGAAAGCAUUUUUGACAUCGAAUUGUUGCAAAUGCCAGUCAAGGUUUGCUGCUAGGGAUAAGAGUACACAAAUAGUGCUUAUCUGACACGCCCCGACUCCGAUAUUCCCCGAAUAUCAGGAUAGGUACGUGUUGGCCAACACCUGAGGUGACGAAGCCAUUUAUUGAAAUACAAGAGAAAUGAUUAGGAGAAACACGCACAAUUAAACAUCUGAAAUCAAAGGGAGUUACAAACAAAGUUUAGGGAAAUAUCUAGAGUGCGCAAAACACAUUCGAAGUCAAGAUCACAAAAGGAAAGAUCAUUACAAAUAUUACACAAGUGGAAGAUAGACUGCUACUGGUAGGGGAAUGCCUCGUAUGAUGCCUCGUAGUCCUCGUUCCUAAGACCUGAAUGGGGGCGCAAAACAAGGGUGAGUGGACCAAGUUUAUAUACAUACAUAGUACAAAAACAGUUAUGAACAUACUAACCCCCACAAUUUAAUAAUGAAAACUACUAGAAUAAUAAGUGAUAAGCUUUUCAGAAAACUUUAGCAUGCCAUAAAACAAUUCAUAUAUCCAUCUGCAAAUCAAUCUCAGAAAAUCAUAUCAUAAAUCGUAUCAGGAAGCAUAACACAAGUUGUGCUGCUAGUAAGUGCACUGAAUAAUAAUACUCCCGGCCCAAUGCCUGCACCUCAGUCUCUGUGCCCGUAGCUAGAGAUAUCCCCCUCCUGGCCCAAUGCCUGUCUCCGUGUCCCUCAGCCUUUCGCUAGGGAUUAUUUCUCUCGGCCUCAAUGCCAACACCAGAUCCUCGCCCCAGGCGGCAUAGUGUUCACUAGGUACGCACAAAACAUAAUUAAUCUCUAAAAUACAACUUCAUAGCAUAAAUUCAUCGAUCCUCUAUACUACGAAGAGGUGUUCGAAAGUCAUUUGAAACACAUUCUUAGCAUCCUAUCAGAUAGUCUACUAUAAUGAGGGUUCUAUAGAAAAUACAAUAUAAUGAAAAUAGUUCAAAAUAUUUAUAUAUAAUCAAUCAUAAUUAAAUCAUCAUGCUUCCUGUAAAGUAUUCCUCAAAUCAAUAAUUCUGCAAGGCAUGCUAUUAAAUUAUGCAAUUCUAUCAAUAAAACAUGCAAUUUUCGAAGGUGGUCCACUAACAGAUACUCCGAAGCAGUAGAAUUGUGCGAAAAAGAUUAAGGAAGUCUCCACUAGCAACUUCACAUAAGCAUGAAAAUGUACAAUUUAAUAAACUACCCAAAAGAUAGAAUUUUAGGAAAUGGAAAUGGGUUUUUGGGUUUGGGUAGGUUAGGAACAAGAGGGAGUUUGGGCUUAUGCCUAAAUCCAUACUUAUACACACACGGCACACACAUCCACACACACAUAUAUAUAUAUAUAUAUAUAUAUAUAUAUACAUAUAUAAACACACACACACUCCCACGCAUGCACACAUACACACACUCCCACAACAUAUCCAUACACACAUGUACAUAUGCACGGACACACACAUACACAUAUGCACUGCACCACACACACUUGCAUACACACACACACACACACACAUAUAAACACACACACACAUGCAUAUAUAUAUAUACACACACAUAUAUAAACACACACACGCACAGCAUGUAUAUAUAUUAUUGAUGUUUCGGUUUCAACUUUGUUGUUUCUUUCUUAUUCAUUCUGCUGCAAUUGCAGCAUUGUUUAUAUGCAUUUUACAUACACGCAUGCAAUAAAGAAAAGCAAUACAGGUGUUGUGCUUGCUGUCAUGAUGCAGCAACUAGAGAAAAAAUAAGCAGCAUUCAUUUCUCCCAUACAACAUUGUCUAUCUGUCAAGGAAUAUACAACAUUCCUUUUCACGAGCAAUAUUCCCUCUCUCCAUACUGUCAUAUUUCCUCUCUCCCAUACUGUCCUAGCUGUCAAUAUCAUAUUCCCUCUUUCCCAUACUGUCCUAGCUGUCAAUACUCCCCCUCAAGCGGGAUCAAGGGGGUUGAUUGAUCCAAGCUUGAACAAUAACCGUUGAAAUUGUGUAAAAUCAAGAGCUUUCGUGAAAAGGUCCGCAAGUUGAUCAUGACUUCUAGUGUACACAGUUUCGAUGACUUUGGAUUGAACUUGAGUGCGGAUGUAGUGGCAGUCAACUUCAAUGUGUUUAGUCCGUUCAUGGAAUACAGGAUUGGAUGCAAUAUGCAUGGCAGCCUGCUUGUCACAGAAUAAGGACAUGGGUUCCUUAUUGGUGAAGCCAAGAUCAAGAAGGAGACUCUUCAACCAGAUGAGUUCAGAAGCUGUUGCUGCCAUGGCCCGAUAUUCAGCUUCAGCACUGGACCGUGCAACCACUGUUUAUUUUUUACUUUUCCAGGUGACAAGGUUUCCACCUACAAAGGUACAAAAACCUGUGGUGGAUUUUCGAUCAAGGGAAUUACCAGCCCAGUCCGCAUCGGUAUAGGCCAGAAUGUGAUUAGACUUAUUUUUCUGCAUGAGUAUGCCUCUGCCGAUCGAGCCCUUGAGGUAUCGAAGUAUUCUCUUGACAAUUUCCCAAUGAACCAAUGUAGGAGAAUGCAUAAACUGACUGAUAAGGUUUACGGAGUAAGCAAUAUCAGGCCGUGUGAUAGUGAGGUAAAUGAGUUUCCCAACCAUGCGUUGAUACACAUUAGGAUUUGAAAGAAGGGUACCUGGAGCAUCCAGUUGAAGUUUGCUAGCAAGUUAGUGCGGGCAGGUUUGCAGUUGACCAUAUGUGCUUCAUCAAGAAGGUCAAGAACAUACUUCCUUUGAUUUAAGAAUAAACCCUUGGAGGAGGUAGCCAUCUCAAUACCCAGAAAAUAUUUCAAGGAUCCCAAAUCUUUAAUGGCAAACUGUUGGUGAAGUGACCUUUUAAGAGCCUCGAGUUCAUCCAUGUUGUCCUCCGUGAUAAUAAGGUCGUCAACAUAUAUAAGAACUACAAGCUUCCCUUGGACACCACUUCGAACAAAGAGAGAGGAGUCAGCAUGACUCAUUUUGAACCCUGCCACUUCAAGAACGGAGCUUAGUUUGGCAUACCAAGCUCGAGGAGACUGUUUAAGUCCAUAUAUAGCUUUAUGAAGCUUGCAGACUUUGGUAGGUUCUUUUUCUUGAGGGUGUCCUGGAGGUAGCUUCAUGUACACCUCUUCUUGAAGCUCACCGUGAAGAAAUGCGUUUUUAACAUCCAUUUGAAACAAGGGCCAGUCAUGGUUGACUGCUACUGAUAACAACACCCUCACUGUGUUCAUUUUGGCAACAGGAGCAAAGGUCUCAUUGUAGUCAAUGCUGUAAGUUUGAGUGAAACCCCGUGCAACCAACCGGGCCUUGUGUCUUUCAAUGGUACCAUUAGAAUUGAAUUUGGUCUUGUAAAUCCAUCUACUCCCUACGGCUUUCUUCCCUUUGGGAAGAUCUACUACACUUCAGGUUUGAUUUUCAUUCAGUGCUUUGAGCUCAUCAUGCAUGGCAUCUCUCCACACAGGUAUACAUACUGCUUCUUGAAAGUUUUUAGGCUCAACAUUGUUUGCCAACUGACUUAGGAAGGAUGCAUGAGAUGCUGACAGUUUGUGAUAAGUGAGAGCUUCAGAAAUGGGAUGCCUUGCACUGUAAGUGAUGUACUCUUGUAGCCGUCGAGAAGGGUUGCGAUCGCGAGUUGGAUUCCUUUUUGGUGCUGCUACAAUUGGUUGUGUGGCAACAACUGGUGCUGGGGCACGAGGUAUAUCUUCACUGACCAUCUCAUCAACUGGAGGAUCACUUAUAGGGUGGUAUGGGGGGUGUCUGUAUGGAUUUCAGCGAGAGUUGGUAGUGGAAAAAUAUCCAUUAGACUCUCCCCCUGAGAACUAUUUGGGGAGUGAUUGUUGAAGAAGGGAACGUGUUCAUCAAACCGUACAUCCCUAGAGACAACCAGCUUCCCAGUGUGUGGGUUAUAACAUUUGUAUCCCUUUUGAGAACUCGAGUACCCCAUAAACACACACUUGAUAGCUCGAGGUUCGAGUUUAUCACGAUGAUUUGCUUGAACGUGAACAUAACAUGUGCACCCAAAAAUCCUGAAAUGAGUUAAAUCAGCAGUUCUUCCCUUCAUAACUUCAAAAGGUGAUUUGGAAUUCAGGACACGAGUGGGAAGUCUGUUAAUGAUAUAGGCUGCAGUAAGGAGUGCUUGGGACCAGAAUCUCUUGGGAACUUGCAUCUGAAACAUAAGAGACCUAGUUUUCUCCAAUAAAUCCCUAUUCUUGCGUUCGGCCACACCAUUUUGUUGUGGUGUACCUACACAACUUGUUUGAUGCAAGAUACCAUGACUGCUUAAGUAGUUUGACAGAUUAUUGGAGGUAUACUCGGUGCCAUUAUCUGACCGUAAGGUACAUAUUUUUGAGGAGAAGUGGUUGGUUAUUAGCUUAUGAAAGUCUUGAAAAGCUGUAAAAAAUUCACUUUUAGACUUUAAGAGAUAUAACCAAGUAACCCUAGAGUAGUCAUCUAUGAAUGUAACAAAAUACUUGUACCCAUCAAAUGACUCAACACGGGAAGGUCCCCAAAUAUCUGAGUGUACAACUUCAAAGGGUUUACUAGUUCUAGAUUUAGAGGGUACAAAAUGUAGCCUAGUGGCUUUUGACAUUUGACAGAUCUCACACUCAUGUGUGUUGGUACAAUAAUUUGGAAAUAAUUUAGACAUUACUGGUUCGGAGGGAUGAGCUAGGCGUUGGUGCCAAAGUUGAUGCUUCUGGACAUGGCUUAGGUUGACAAUGGGUUCCUUAACUUGAUUGAACUCCUUUGAGAGGUAGUACAGACCAUUUAAGAAAAAACCCUCACCAAUCUUCUUCUGAGUGACUCGAUCCUGAAAUACAACUGUGUGAGGAGAAAAAAUAGCAAGACAGUUCAAAGUAUGUGUGAGUUUUCCUGUGGACAGAAGCUGAAAUGGAAAUGAGGGUACAUAUAGUGCCGUAGACUCUACAUCACUCCCCAUCAAUUUAAUUUUUCCUUUUCCUAGAACUGGUUCCCCUUUCCCAUUCGCUACAGACACAUGAGUAGGAUUAGGUAAUUUUUGAAACUCAUGUAGACAAGCUUGUUUGUUGGUUAUAUGGUCAGUGGCACCUGAGUCUAUAAUCCAAAAAUUGUGUGUGAGAUAUACAUUGAGAGCCGUGGAAAGUGCACAAAUGAUACCUGGGAUAUUGCCGGAUUUAGUGGUGUUUGAAUUUGCCAAAAAACCAGCAAAUUUUCCAAGCAUUUCUGUGGGAUUUUCCGUGGUGACAUUGUUACCCUCAGCGAUAUCACUCUUCUUCUGGAGAAAGGCGGCAAACUCAUUGAUCAGGGAGAUAGGGUUUGAGGUGAAGUUUGACAUCUCAUUAGAUGGACAACUCAGAGAUUGGAAGGCUUUAGGCGCAAACCCUUUCCCAUCCCUGAUCAUUUUUCCUUCCUUGUUAAACUUAGGUUUUAACUCAAGAUGUAAAAUCCAGCAUUUUUCCCGUACGUGCCCCUUGGUGUUGUAGUAUGUGCAUUUCCAGUCAGCUUUCCUUCCAUUAAAAGGCCUUUCACUAGUGAAGUUGUGGUUACUAGUGAAAACCCUAGCUUCUGGGCUAGACAGGGGCUCAACAUGCAUAACUUUCCUUCGAGUUUCUUCUCUUUGGACUGCAUGACACACGUUGAUGAAAGAUGGUAGCUCAGGAGUCAUUAGUAAGUGGCUACGCAAGUCUUCAUACUCAACUCCCAAACUUGCCAAUAGUUGGAACACUUUAUCUUCAUCAGCCCUUUUCAAGAGUACAGCGGAUUCAGUGGUGUGUGGACGAUAUAGAUCAAGUUCAUUCCACAUAGAUUUCAUGCUUCCAAGAUGCUGAAUGAAAGUUUGAUCACCUUGCUUAAGCCCAGCGAGGCUUUUCUUCAGUUCAAACACACGAGCAGCAUUGUGUUGACUACCGUACAUUUCCUUGAUCGAUUCCCAUAAGAUGUGUGAAGAAUCUGAGUAGCUGAAGAUCUCGGACAACUUGGGCUCCAUCGAGUUAAGUAUCCAGGACAUAACAAGCUGGUCAUUUGAGUGCCAUGCAUCAAAGGUAGCUGAGGAAGACUCUGGAGGCUUGAUGGUUCCAUUUACGUACCCUAGUUUCGAUCUUCCUCCUAGGGCAAGAGAUAUAGCUCGUGACCGUGGCAAGUAGUUGAACUCAUUCAACAACACAGAGCACAGUCGUGGGUUGCUCUCCCCGUGUAUCAUGUUGGCUGGUGUUAGGGUUGAGGGACUUGUAGCCUCAUAACUAAAUGAGAUAUCUUCUGCCAUCACAACAAAUGAUGAACAGAUGAAGAAGAACAAGCUAGAAGGAUAAUCAACAGAGGCAGGACCCUAUGGUUCCUGCUCUGAUACCAUAUUGAUGUUUCGGUUUCAACUUUGUUGUUUCUUUCUUAUUCAUUCUGCUGCAAUGGCAGCAUUGUUUAUAUGCAUUUUACAUACACGCAUGCAAUAAAGAAAAACAAUACAGGUGUUGUGCUUGCUGUCAUGAUGCAGCAACUAGAGAAAAAAUAAGCAGCAUUCCUUUAUCCCAUACAGCAUUGUCUAUCUGUCAAGGAAUAUACAACAUUCCUUUUCACGAGCAAUAUUCCCUCUCUCCAUACUGUCAUAUUUCCUCUCUCCCAUACUGUCCUAGCUGUCAAUAUAUAUAUAUAUAUACAUAUAUACAUACACACACACAACAUGCAUACUUACACACACACACACACGGUUCACGCACACACACUUGCACAUACACAUACACACACAGUACACCCACACUACACACGCACACGGUUCGCACACACACACACGGACACACAUACACACCUGUACACACACACACCUACGAACUCGCCGGAGUUCGUUGUCGAAACUAGAUUAUUAGCAUAGGGAAAAACUGAGAUCGAAACCCUUGAGUUUUGUCAUAAAAACAACAUGCAUAACCCAGAAAUUUUGAAGAAGGAACACAAUCCUCACCUGGGUUCGAGUGUUAGAGCUUUGAAGCUCUCGGCUUCAAUGGCAGAAAAACCCACGGUGCUCAGAUGGCGCAUGCAAGGGUACCAUUGAGUUCGUUAGGUUUCAAGGAUUCCAAAUAUAUGGUUUUUGAGGUUUGAUUUGUAAGGGAAGUGAGGUGAAAGCUAGAGAGAAGCUCUCAGAGCUUAGAGAGUGAGAGAGAGAGAGAGAGAGAGAGAGCACUGAGAUUGAAAAUUGUUUCGGGAAGAGAGGGAAGAAAAAAGGGUUCUGAGAACUGCCACAUGGCAGUUUAAGGAUAAUAGCAUUUCUAGAUCAAGGGUUAGGAUUAAAAGAGAAUAAGGGACUAAAUUGAUAGAUAACAAAUAUGUUCUAGGGGAAAAAUAGAAAUAGUAUGAAAAUAUGGGGGUGGGGUUUAACAUUAUCUUAGCUACAGGGGUAAAAGUCUCUCUGUAGUCAAUGCCAUAUGUUUGCGUGUAGCCUUUUGCCACUAAUCUUGCUUUGUAUCGCUCAAUAGUGCCAUCUGCAUUGAAUUUUACUGUGUAUAUCCACCUGCAACUAACUGAUUUCUUCCCCUUGGGAAGGUUAGUUAACUCCUAAGUGGAAAUUUUCUGAAGUGCCUCCAUUUCUUCAUUCAUUGCACGAGUCCACCUAGGAUCUUUCAUAGCAUCCUCUACACUACAAGGAAUAGAUACAGUGAAUAAUUGAUUUACAAAUGCCUCACAUGAUGUAGAUAGCCUAUGGAGGGACACAUGGUUAGCAAUUGGGUAUUUAACGUUGGCUAGGAUCAGGAUCAUAUAACUGUUUAGGAAUCCCUCGAGAUUUUUGAGGGGGAAGUUGAUAAUUAGUGGACUCAAUUUGACUUGACUCAGGUACGAUCUCAAUAGAAUUAGAUUGAUCAGUUACCUGUUGAUAAUUAGGCAUUUAAUUUUCUCAUAUGGCAGUGUGUAAUUAUCUCGAGUACAACCACAAUGAUAUUCAAUAUGUGGAAGUCUCCUUAAUUUUAGAUGAUCAUGGAUAGCGAAAAGAGGUGAGUAGGAGCAAGGGCGAUUCCAACUCUUUAUAAGCCGUUGUAAGAUUUUUUUAACUUUCCGGCAUUCUUCACCUUCUCACGAGUAGCCUUCAUCCCCAUUUGUGUGGAUCCACUUCUUUAUCUAACUCUUGACCAAAUUGACCUAGUCACCUUCAGAUAACGAUAACUAUUAAUCUAGCAACUCAAACCGACCAAUAAUUUAUUGGCACAUUGCUCACAGCUUGCAAAGGUAACAAGUAGAUGAAGGCAUAUAGGGGUACUUUUGAGAAUAUGGAAAACAGCAUCAGGACAAAUGAUCUAGCUUAGAUAAUUGUAUCCUUAUGGUGAUCGAAAGGGAACUUCACAUUUCAGCAGGAUCAAGAGGGAACUUGAUCUGGUCAGAUCCUAGAGAUCGAUGGUUCCAGCGUGUAUAAUAAUUUUGGUAGUUGCAAUAGCGAAAAUGGUUUGGUUUGCAAGUGCUUACCUGGUUUUAAGCCUUGUUCGCCGGAUAAUUGGAACAAUGGGGAUUAUUCAGCUGGAUUUGUUAGGAAAUCAACAAACAAUGCCGUGAGCGACAAGUUCUUGAGUUUAAAGAUGAUGAAGGUGGGAAACCCUGAUUCGCAAUUUAAUGCCAAAAGUUAGAUGGAAUGCAAAAUAGAGUGCCUUAACAACUGCCAGUGCCAAGCUUAUUUAUACGAGGAGGUUCAUAUCACACGAAGGGGUGGGAGUAGUAGUUCUACAUGCUGAAUUUGGUUAGAGGAUGUUAGCAAUCUUCAGGAGGAGUAUGUCAGCAGCCGGAACUUCCAGGUUCGUGGAGCAGUUGCGGAUAUAGGUAUGAUUCUCUUAUAUAAAAAUGCCGGAAUUGCUACAGGUUCAUGUAGCAGUUCCAUAUGUUCUUUUGGUAGACAAUCAUGCAAGCUAAACAUUUGCUCGACUGUUUUUAAAUUUUCAAGGAAUUAUAUUUUUGCAGAGCAACAUCGAGGAAUUGCGAUACUUGUGGUACAAACCUGAUCCCUUAUCCCCCUGAGCGCUGGAACAAAAUGUGGUGAUCCUACAUACUAACCUCUCCACUCGCGGUUAUGCGUGCGCGAAUUUUUUUUUUAGCUACGUCUGUCACAUUUAUGUUACUUUGCAAACUACAAAUUUUUAUGCUAAAGCAUAUACAUUAUAAACGUGGGCAGGGUGGCAGAUUCAAGAAAUAUUAUUUGAAAGGUCGGUAAGCACAGCGUGGCAGUGGGCAAAAUUUUAGGAACGGAAUAGCAUGCAAAUUGGCAUAUUAUCGAGCCUUAGUAGGCUUGAAGUCAUUUGCCAAGUCACAUUACACGUAUGUUGACAGAUGCCAACAACUUCUGAGCGAGCAUGUCGACUGAUGUGAAUAGCUUUUGAGUGAGCAUGUCGACAUAUGCCAACAUAUGUUGAGUAAGCCUAUGGACAGAUGCCCAUUGUAACGCAUACAAAGGCACGACGCUAGCAAUAGAGGUAGUUCGUCAAGUAGUUAGACGACAUCUUUUGAUGACAUCUCAUAUUUUCAAAAGACGAUACCCAUUUCUUCCAUGAAGGAUUUUUAAGCUUGCGGGGGUCAGCUGACCUCGAUGAUAGAAGAUGUGUUGGCAUAUGGUAUCCUGAACUGGGUCCGAGGACAGCGGUAUGAGUUGCCAACAGAGAACCCCCAGUUCUCAAUUCAACUAGAACCACAUUUUUUGCACUCCAAGACAUUAACCUUCAAGAGUUACUGGUCAAUGAGGGUUGAAGCAUGAACGAUUUUAUUUUAUUUUUAGAGGGAUUUUGUUCAUUUUGAUUUUGGUUUUUCAUGGUUUUUAGGAUUUUUUUAAUUUAUAUUCCACUUUAUUUAGUAACACUCCUGAAAUGAUAAAGCAUGUGAGUCUCGUAUUACAAUUAAUAAUGUAUUACACGAAUAGUUUUAAACUAGUGAUAUAUUUAUUUAGAGAAAGUGAGAAUUCAUAAUUUAAUACCUUAAAAAAAGUAAGAAAUCAUAUUAACUAGAAAAAUACUAAGGAAACUCUCAAAAGUGGAACUCUACUGGAAUCUUUGUCGUCUCAUGUUUUCGGCACAAUAUUUAAUAAUGUAUUCAUGAGAAUUGACAUUAAACUGUACGGUGUUAAAGAGUAUAAAGAGACCCACUUUGAAAAUGUCUCCUUAACAUUUCUCUGUUAAUUAUAUGGCCAAUUGAUUUGUUCCUAUACAAUUCUCUCUCUUCUCGUUUCAAACAUUUCUCCCUAAGAGGUUACAAAUCACAAAUAUCGUGUGUGGGCUAAACAAGCGACUUCACUAGCACAAAACUGUUGGGCCAAAUUCAAAGCCCAAAGGUUAAUGUUGCCAACAGUUGGGUUCGAACCUGAACUGCUGAAGCCCAGCCCAACACACCGCUGGUUGCCGGCAAAAUUUUCCAAAAUCCCGCCUUUACCGCUCAAGGCGCACUGAGAAUUGAAAGGAAAUUUAAUUUUCAGAAGGAAUAACAACCAUCGACAAUGGGGGCACCGGCCAAUCGGAUCGUCAUCCUCGUGCUUACGCUUGGCCGAGCGCCGGAGGUGGAGAUACUUGCUGCCCACCGCAGGAUUCUCCAUUUCCGAAUAGCAUGCUCCCCAUUAUUCCUUAAUCUUUGCUUAUUUUACUUAAAAUAAAACACAAAAUUAAACUGCUUUGGUCUUCAUAAUUGCCAUAUGCUCCCCAAAGAAGAUGAAGAACCAAAAUUCAAUUCUAAUUAUUAAUUUAUUUUCUUUCAAAUUGCAUUCAUGGGUAAAAUCGAAGUUUUUGGAUAUGCACCCAUUGUAACGUAAACAAUUUGAGCUCGUAGUUCAAGUGGUUAGUAUUUUUUUGUUUUGUUCAAGGUGUAAAAUUCGAUAUCUACUGUGCUUGUACAACAUAAAAAAUAGUCAUUUACAAAAUAAGAGGGAAAGCGAGAAGUAUUUUUUUAUAUAAAUAAUAUACAACCUUGACUUUGCGCCAGCUACUUUCUUUUUGGGUACUAUGACUUGCACGGGCUACUUUUCCAUCAUUGAGCUUAGGGUGGGCACGGUACGGUUCGGUCCGGUUUUAUCUCUAAAUCGAAACUGGAAUCGGAAAAUAUCAACGGUUCGGUUCGGUGUGGUUCUGCUUAAAUUUAUUACUAGAACUUUAUGGUUCGGUCUAUACUGAUUUCGAUUCGGUUCUUGCUGGUUUACUGUUCCGAACACUAAAUUAUUUGAACAUCAAAUCAUCAUGCAUUCAAAUACAUCUCCAGACUACUAAAUAUGCUAAAUAUGAGACAAGAUAAUUAAUCAAGUACAAUUAAGUUCAACUAACCUGGAACUGUAGAAGACAAUUAAUCAAACAAUAGAAGAGUGUGCAUAUGCCCUCCGCUCCAAAAUUUCACGAAAAGCUUCAAAUGGGAAACAAUAGAAGAUAAUUAAUCAAACAUCUGUACGCUUCAAAUUGAAAGUGGACACAAAAUCUUUAUUUAAAAGGACAGAAGGUUUAAGCAUGAUAUACAUGAUACGCCCUCCCAAGAUGAAACGAGAACAAUAGAUUAGGUCUCAAUCGUCCAUUUGCGAAUGGGCUAAGUAAUGUAUAUGCCUCAAUGCCACUGUACAGGGAGGACAUCCAUUCAAUCAAAAUGACCCCAAUUAGACAUUUACGUUAUACUACUUUUCAUUUUAUAUUAUUUCUGUUGGAGGGGUACUUUUAGUUCUCAGCUUCCUCAAUUUGCAUUAUAAUAGAAAAAAAUAACAUUACUUAUUUCAGUUCAACCAUACAGUCCAUGACUCCAUGUUAGCACUUCUUACAACCCAAACCAAGGAAAUAAAAUAAAUUCUUUUCAAAAUCAAAGUAAUUAUAGUUCUGAGGAAGCAUAUGCCAAUAUUACACGGGGUCAUGAAAGCUUCAUAAAAAAAGAAGCAAUAAAAAACCCAAACCUUGAAAAACAAAAGCUCAAUGAGCCAUACCGUUCUUGAAGAUCCUUUCGCGAGAAGCUAAGAUAUCACUCUGCGUGGAAGCCAUGGGAGCACCUGAAUCGACAACGCAAUCAAUCACCAUUCACCAAUCCGAAAACAAAGUUUCAAGAAAUUCACACAAUCGAUUGGGGAAAGUGAGAAAAUGAUCGAGCCUGAUAAUUCGGAUGCGAUGCGGUGGGGACUGAAGUGGGGAAGGUGAGUGAAGCAAGAGGUCCUCCGCAGCAUGCAAAGAAGUGAAUGCUUCAGAGACUUGACGAAGGGGUGUAGAGAGAGAAUAUGAGAAAAGAUAGAGAAAAUACCAAGGACGGAGGACGGAGGACGGAGGACUAAGCUGUCGCGGAGGAGGGAUGACGAGGGUCGUCGCAGAGAGUCGCGAGGGAGGUGGGCGGCGACUCGGCAGAGUGAAGAAGCCUACAGGAAUGGAAAUCUAAAAGUGUGAAAUGAGCGAUGACUGAUGAGGCCGUGAGUGAGGAUGAGGGUGGGAUUCACUGCUUUGCAACAUGAUGAAACUAAUUUUUCAACCUAACCUAUUAUAUCAUGACAUGUGUGUAUAUAUAUAAUUAAUUAAUUUAUUAUUAACAAAAGGGUUUAGUUCGAUUCCGGCCGGUUCCUGUUCAUUUGAAACUGGAACCGAACCGGUUUGAAACGGUCCGAUUCGGUUUUUAACUCAAAGUUAAUUUUUCCGGUCAACACGAUUCUUUUCGGUUUUUUUUCUUCAUACGGUUCGAUUCGGUUUUGCGGUUUUUAUGCCCACCCCUAAUUGAGCUGUCUAUACAUACAUAUAUAUAUAUUUGUAUAUGUAUGUGUAUAUGUGGACACAAAGAAAAGAUGAAAUGCGUAGAACUCGACGACCUUGACCCUCCACAUUGGGCCAACUACUAUUCACCCCAGCAUUGAGUGGUUGCUACAGGAUCAACAUUUUCUGCUCUGGCCGCCAGCCGGUACGUAAAUUUAUCAUUCUCUACGAUAUUUGUUAAUUAAGUUGCCAAUCUGCUGUUAAUCUGUUUUAGUAAAUGGCUUAUGGGACAAAAUUUCCAGUCUAAGAGAGCUUUCUGUUUUUGCAAGUAGGUAAUGCCUUAGGUACUUCUUGAUAAAUGCGCAGUAGCCUCCUUAAUGAUGUUUCUCAGAGGGAGGUUAACAAGAUCAAAUUACGUCGUUACAUGGUUUGCGAAUCGCAUGCUAAUUAAACCACAAAAUCACCAAAAAAAUGGAGAGAGUGGCCGGCCAUUCGUUGAAGAAAAUGGAGAAGCCUAAUCCUAUAAAUAGGCUCCUAUUUUCACCAAAAAUUCAUUCCAAUUCUCUUACAAAAAAUCCCAAAUAUUCUAAACACUAUUUUUCUCUAAAAUUCUAACUUUGGCAUCGAAGGUUCUUCGGCCAAAGCCCCCCAUUCAUCGUGGGCGCGUGAGGCUCUUGGCCUUAACCUAAUGUGCUAGUUGUUUUGUAGGUGCAAAAUCGUCCAAGAUCGAAGAGGAGAAAAUUUGCAUCCACAAUUGUGACAUAAACAAUUUGAGCAUGAAUGUUCAAGUGGUCAAUACAUUUUUAUUUUUUGUUCGAGGUCUUAAGUUUGAUGUUGCAUUAUUACCAUGUUUGUAUAACUGAAUAAAAAAGCCAUUUAGGCAUUUACAAAAUAAGAGAGAAAGAGAGAGGUAAAGGCGUGGACACAAAGAACAGAUGAAAUAAAAAAUUAGAAGACGUUGACCUGUUGGCCACUUUUCAAUCAUUGAGCUCAGUCUCCAUAUCAACAUUGAGUGGAAACAAAGAAAAGAUGAAAUGUACAAAAACUCGACGACCUGGACCUUUCACGUUGGGCCUACUACUCUUCAAUCAUCCAGCAUUGAGUGAUUGCUACGAGAUCAACAUUUUCUGCUCUGGCCGCUAUGUAAAUUCAUUAUUCCAGCAUUGAGUGAUUGCUACAAGAUCAACAUUUUCUGCUCUGGCCGCUGUGUAAAUUCUUUAUUCUCGACGAUAUAUGUUAAUGAAGUUGCCAAUCUGUUGGUAGCAGUAACCUCUCCUUAAUGAUGUUUCUCUUAGGGAGGUUAACAAUAUCAAAUUACGUGGUUGCGUGGUUUGCGAAUCGCAUGCUGUUUUCCAUCUUCGUUUCUUAUGCAGUAGCGGUCUUGUUGUGCUCAUCUCACCCAUUUUGCUGUGCUAGAGAUACAGUAACAUAUGACACUCCAAUUACCGACGGUGUUGAAUCAGAAACUCUUGUUUCGUCUGGUGGAAGAUUUGAACUCGGAUUCUUUAGCCCUUCACCUGAAGGGACUCAAAGAUAUGUUGGCAUAUGGUAUCACCAACUUGUAAGUUCUAUAUGAGAGCAAACACUUUGUGAUUUGAUUAAAGACAUUUGGAAUGAUAAGGAGAUUAGGAUUGACACUUGUGGUAGACUUAUCAGGAAUUGUAUUUCUUUGGAGAUUCAAGUCAGAUACAUUCUCGGUAAGACUAGAACUCUUCUAGCUGAUAUAAUGCAUAAGUGUUUCACGGUGAUAAGGCUACUAUUUGAUAAGGAUCACUUAAUGGGAGGGAUCCUGAUUGAAUUCCAUCGUAUGAAGUAUAAAACUGAGGUCCCUGCUCUCUCACAGAACACGCAAGUUUACAGAAAACUCAAGCCCCAUUGAGCGAGCCUUGCUUUCGGUUGUGUAGAGUUGCAGAAGAACUUCAGUUAUUAAUCCUAGUUCUCUGAGACGAUGUCUUCUACAGGUAAGUGGUUAAGUUGAUAAUUGUGAAUAAGUUUUUCCGUUGCAUAAUUUACUUACAUUUGGUAUCAGAGCCCUUCACAUAUCAUUUAACCCUAUGUCGAAGGCAUCAAGAAAUUUUUCCUUGUCUCGCAGGUUACAGAACUGGUAGUAUAUCAUUAGGGAAAUAUAUAUGAACACGAUCAAGUGAUAGCUAAAGCUAUCCUUGAUCAUAAAGACAUAUAUUUUCAUUCAGAUGUACAUACCAGUGAUGGUGCUUAAAUUCAAGACAUGAUCACUGGUCAUCUAAAGAAGAUCAUUCUUUCAUGCUUAGAAUUUAAGUAGUAUAUCACUUUAUAUACGAAUGUUUGAAUCGAAUUACUAUUGUCAAACCACAAAGGUUUAUAAUUUUGAUUACAGAAAUUCGAAUGUUGGUUAUAAAGGUGAUAUGAUUAAAGAAAGUCUUCACAUGUUCAUCAAUCCAAAGAUGUUGAAAAGGUGAUUUAUAGUCUGGGGAUUUAAAGAUUAAUACUUGAACUAUGUGCUUUGACAGUUAUGAAUCCUAGCUCCAUGCACCUUAAUACAGUUGAACCACUCACUGGUGUCAACUAUAAGAAAUGGAAGCAAGAUCUUGAGAUCGUGCUAGGUGUCAUGGAUUGGGACUUAGCACUUAGAACUGAAGAGCCCCCUACACGAACAGAUGGAAGCACCUCAAGUCAGAAGUCUAAAUAUGAAAAGUGGCACAAAUCAAACAGAAUUUCCUUAUUGAUUAUCAAAAGAAGCAUGAUUGAUGUGGUUCGAGGAGCCUUCACAGAUGCUACCAAUGCAAAGGAUUUCUCAAGUCCAUUGAGCAGAAGUACCAAGAGUCACCAAAAACUGAGACGGAUGCUACCAAUGCAAACAAUUUCCUUAAGUCCAUUGAAGAAAAGUACCAGGAGUCACCAAAAAAUUGAAACAGGUAAUCUCAUGAAUUCACUGACAACCAUGAGACAUGAUGGCAUAGAGAGUGUGUGUGAGUACAUUUUAAAAAUGGUGGACAUCGCUGGAAAACUCAAAGCUCUCGAGGUACUAAUCCCUGAAACUUUCUUGGUACAUGUGAUAUUGAGUUCCCUGCCUGAUAGUUAUACACAUCUCAAAUUGUCCUACAAUGCAUUGCGUGAAAAGUGGGAUGUGAAUGAGUUAAUUUCAGUAUGUGUGAGUGAGGAGGAAAGGAUGAAAAAGUUUGAAAAUGAGAAGAUUAAGUCUUUGAACUAUGUACGAAGUACCACCGAGGCACAUACACCCUUAACCACCGAUACUAGAAAGAAUUCUACCAAAAGGGUUCCCUCUCCUAAAAGAAACACCAAACCUAACAAGCCAUCGAUUCUCAAACAUUAUUUUUGUAUAAGGCUUGGCUUGCCAUAUGAAGAAAGGUAAAAACUUUUUUGCUUGUUUUGAGUCUAAUUUAAUUAUUAUACCUAGCACUAAAUGGUGGCUUGACUCUAGCUUUUCUAUUCAUGUUACGAAUUCAUUGCAGAACUUCAUAACAAGGAGAACAUCAAAUAAAACUCAACAAAGUCGAAUUUAUUUUAACAUUCAAAUGAACAUACUAAGACUCGACAAUCAUCAAACUUAUAGCAAAAGAGGCUAGGUCAUAUGUCAAAACAAAGGAUGAGUUACUUGUCAAUAAUGAUAUUUUGCCUCCCGUAAUUUUUAAUGGUUUUGAGUUCUGUGUGGAUUAUGCUAAGGGAAAAAUGACAAGUAGUAGAAAGAAAGGAUCAACAAGAAGCAAAGAAACUUUAGAAAUCAUCCAUACGGACGUUUGUGGUCUUUUUUCCCACACAAACUAUAGAGGGACAUAAAUAUUUCAUAACUACUUUUUCUUAAUUUUGUUUCAUCUAUCUAAUUCAAAAUAAUCAAAUGCACUUGAAACUUUAAGAUUUCAAAAUUGACAUCGAAAACCAAUUGGAAGAAAAAAAAAAAAAAAAAAAAUUUAAGGAGGUUAGGUCUGAUAGGAGAGGUGAAUACAAUGGUAGAUACACUCAAACUGGCAGACAUCUUAGUCCUUUUGCCCUUUUUUCUUUUUCUACAAGAAAAUGGAAUUGUAGCUCAAUACACCACACUAGAAAUCUCGAGCAAAACGAAGUGGCUAAGAAAAGAAGGAGAACCCUAAUGGACAUAGUAAGGAGUACGAUUUGUAAGACUAAUCUACCAAGUUGUUUAUGGAGUUAGAGAUGGACAAUGACAAUCUUAUAUUUGAAGAAGAUGAUUAAAUGGGGAAUGAUGCUGAACAUUCACCGAUUGCAGCAGCCUUGGUUGAAAUUACAGAUCAAUUAUAAGAAAUUAAGUAUGUGUAAUGAUGAUGGUCUGUUACACCAAAGCACCGAUAAUGUGCUGUUGCUCAAUGAGAAACAUACUUAUGAUCAUGCAAGCCAUGAUGAGUCAGUAACUGUGAGUGGCAGCUGCGAUCACCGACAACCAGCAAACAAACGUGGCCAGCAGCAGUGAGCACCGACUACACCGAUUGCAACAACAUGCAAACACUCACGCGGGGUACGUGGAAUUGACACCUGACAAACGUGGCAAGAAGAUGGUCAAAUGGAGAUUAAUACUGAAAUGGCCAAAUAGGGAUUAAUACUGAGCCAACACCGACUGUAGCAAUAGUGGUUGAACUUCCAAGUGAAGUGGAAGAAGAUGAGGGCUAUGAUGAUUGCUAUUUUCAGCAUGGCAAAAAUGAUGUGUUGUUGCAUGGUGAGCAGCAAAUUCGUCAUCAUACAAGGCACGUGGAGGAAAGAGUUUCAAGUGGCAAUGAACUGAAGCAUGACACUGAAAUUGAGGUGUUGUUAGACGGUGAACCGCAUGCAGGAAAUCAGCAAGGACACGUGGAUGAAGAUGAAGCAGCCGUGAAUGGCAGUAACCACCGACUGGAGUCAACAGUUUUGGCAGUCGGUAAUGUUCCACUGUUUUGAGGAAAUCAGAUAGGGUAAGAAAGUCAACAUUCUCAUCAUAUUUUGUGUAUUUGGUAGAGACAGAUUUUAAUUUAUCAGAGUUUUGUGAUCCUGGGAUUUUCAAACAAGUCAUCUCGAGUCCAAAAAUAGACAAUUGGAUUACAGCAGACAUCAAGACAAUGGUACCUAAAAUUUCAUCGAGUUGUAAAAGAAGGUUUCAUAGAGAACCCAUCAGAUAAAUUGUGUUUAUUUGAGAUUCUGUGGGAGCAAUUUUAUCAUUCUAGUUCUUUAUGUGGAUGAUAUAUUGCUCACCACAAAUAGUCAUAGUUUGUUGGAUGAAACUAAAGUUUUCUUGCAAAGACACUUCGAGAUGAAAGACCUGAGAGAUGACACUUAUGUCCAAGGGAUUCAGAUCAAAAGUGAGAGAAUAAGAGGGCUGUUGGGUUUUCCACAAAGAGCAUACAUAAAAAGGUUUAAUAUGUCUUCAUGUGAGACUACAGAAAUGCCCAUAUCAAAGGGUGAUAUAUUGAUCGAACUGUAGUGUCCCAAAACAGACUUGGAGAGGAAGAUGAUGGAAGAUAAGCAAUAUGCAUCCUGGGUUGGGAGUUUGAUGCAUGCACAAGUGUGCACAAGGCCUGAUUUAGCCUUCACCAUUUCGGUGCUUGGUAGGUUCCAAUCCAGUGCUGGAGAGGCUUACUAGAAUGCAGCAAAGAGUGUAGAGAUAUCUUUAGAGAACUAAAAGAUCAUACGUUAGUCUACAGAAUGACAUAGGACCAAAGAUCAUAUGUUAGUCUACAUAAGGACAUAAAAACAUCGUUUUAGAAGGUUAUAAUGACUUAGAUUUUGCGGGUUGUCCAGAUGAUAUGAAAUCAACAUGGGGUUGUGUGAUCUUAAUGGCAUGUGGAGCAGUAUCUUGGAAGAGUGUAAAAUAACAGACUGUGGUUGCUUCAAACUAUGUUUGCAGAAUACUUGUCCUAUUGUGAAACUGUGAAUCUAGCCAUUUGGUUGAAGAAUUUCAUAACAGUACUACAAGAGGUAGACUCAAUCUUGAGACCUAUACAGAUUUAUUUGACGACAGAGUAGCUAUAUUUUUCACUUAGAAUAAUAAAAGGUAAAAUGCAACAAGGAACUUGGAUAUGAAGUAUCUCAUUUCUCGAGAAAAGGUGGUAGCUAGUUUGGUCAAGAUUGAGUAAUUGGAGACUAAUUCAAUGAUUGUUCAUCCAUUGAAUAAGGCUGUUAUCAUAGCGGUUUUCAAGAAGCAUGUCAGCAAAGCAUAGGGGUAAUGGGUGAUUUUGAUGCAGCAAACUCAUGCAGGAAACCAGUGGGAGCAAACUGAUGCAGGAAAUCAGUGGGAGCUGCAUAUCAGGUUCAUUUUAAAUGUUAGUUUUCUUCAGUUGCAGUUCAUGUUCUGGAAGUUGUAUUCGAGUAUUAAUAAUAAAGGCUUCUUAGCUAAUAAAGAAAAAUGUUGUAAGGUUGUUAAAGUUCCCAAAAAGUAUACAGCAUAUAGUUAUGAUAAUGCAUGAAUGUUUUUAUGCAUGAUGAUUAAUGAUCUUGAAUUAUCAUGAAGGAAAAACAACCUAAGGGCUUCGUUCAGAAGCAUUGGGAUUGCUUUCAAUCCUGAAGGGGACCAAAUGUUUGACAUAUUACAAAUACAUAUCCAGUCAUGUCUUACAUUGUUUUUAUAUCUUGUUGGAGUCUCAUGUGUUGGUUAGUUUCAUUGUAAGUAAUUAUGGGGACGGUACUCUUUGAAAGUUGAGUGUGUUGUUGCCCUAUAGUUCUCAUGAAUACUUGUUAAUGACAGAGACUGGUAAAUCGAGAAAAUGUCAAAGACUAAUCUCAUGGCCAAUUCAGAUUCAUUCCAUAUUAAGUAUAAACUAUACAAGUUGACAAAGUAUUUGCUCUAGUGGGAGAAUGUAAGUUCUAUAUGAGAGCAAACACUUUGUGAUUUGAUUAAAGACAUUUGGAAUGAUAAGGAGAUUAGGAUUGACACUUGUGGUAGACUUAUCAGGAAUUGUAUUUCUUUGGAGAUUCAAGUCAGAUACAUUCUCGGUAAGACUAGAACUCUUCUAGCUGAUAUAAUGCAUAAGUGUUUCACGGUGAUAAGGCUACUCUUUGAUAAGGAUCACUUAAUGGGAGGGAUCCUGAUUGAAUUCCAUCGUAUGAAGUAUAAAACUGAGGUCCCUGCUCUCUCACAGAACACGCAAGUUUACAGAAAACUCAAGCCCCAUUGAGCGAGCCUUGCUUUCGAUUGUGUAGAGUUGCAGAAGAACUUCAGUUAUUAAUCCUAGUUCUCUGAGACGAUGUCUUCUACAGUCUAAGAGAGCUUUCUGUUUUUGCAAGUAGGUAAUGCCUUAGGUACUUCUUGAUAAAUGCGCAGUAGCCUCCUUAAUGAUGUUUCUCAGAGGGAGGUUAACAAGAUCAAAUUACGUCGUUACAUGGUUUGCGAAUCGCAUGCUAAUUAAACCACAAAAUCACCAAAAAAAUGGAGAGAGUGGCCGGCCAUUCGUUGAAGAAAAUGGAGAAGCCUAAUCCUAUAAAUAGGCUCCUAUUUUCACCAAAAAUUCAUUCCAAUUCUCUUACAAAAAAUCCCAAAUAUUCUAAACACUAUUUCUCUCUAAAAUUCUAACUUUGGCAUCGAAGGUUCUUCGGCCAAAGCCCCCCAUUCAUCGUGGGCGCGUGAGGCUCUUGGCCUUAACCUAAUGUGCUAGUUGUUUUGUAGGUGCAAAAUCGUCCAAGAUCGAAGAGGAGAAAAUUUGCAUCCACAAUUGUGACAUAAACAAUUUGAGCAUGAAUGUUCAAGUGGUCAAUACAUUUUUAUUUUUUGUUCGAGGUCUUAAGUUCGAUGUUGCAUUAUUACCAUGUUUGUAUAACUGAAUAAAAAAGCCAUUUAGGCAUUUACAAAAUAAGAGAGAAAGAGAGAGGUAAAGGCGUGGACACAAAGAACAGAUGAAAUAAAAAAAUUAGAAGACGUUGACCUGUUGGCCACUUUUCAAUCAUUGAGCUCAGUCUCCAUAUCAACAUUGAGUGGAAACAAAGAAAAGAUGAAAUGUACAAAAACUCGACGACCUGGACCUUUCACGUUGGGCCUACUACUCUUCAAUCAUCCAGCAUUGAGUGAUUGCUACGAGAUCAACAUUUUCUGCUCUGGCCGCUAUGUAAAUUCAUUAUUCCAGCAUUGAGUGAUUGCUACAAGAUCAACAUUUUCUGCUCUGGCCGCUGUGUAAAUUCUUUAUUCUCGACGAUAUAUGUUAAUGAAGUUGCCAAUCUGUUGGUAGCAGUAACCUCUCCUUAAUGAUGUUUCUCUUAGGGAGGUUAACAAUAUCAAAUUACGUGGUUGCGUGGUUUGCGAAUCGCAUGCUGUUUUCCAUCUUCGUUUCUUAUGCAGUAGCGGUCUUGUUGUGCUCAUCUCACCCAUUUUGCUGUGCUAGAGAUACAGUAACAUAUGACACUCCAAUUACCGACGGUGUUGAAUCAGAAACUCUUGUUUCGUCUGGUGGAAGAUUUGAACUCGGAUUCUUUAGCCCUUCACCUGAAGGGACUCAAAGAUAUGUUGGCAUAUGGUAUCACCAACUGAGUCCGAGGACAGUGGUAUGGGUUGCCAACAGAGAAAAGGCAGUUGACAAUUCCACUAGUAAUGGAAGUCUUGCACUCCAAGAUGGUAACCUCCAUGUGUUGGAUGCUGCUGGAAAGAGGUACUGGUCAACGGAGGUUGAAACAUCCGAGUCUUUGACGCAGACUGUGACGCUCAUGGAUUCCGGGAACCUUGUUCUAAGCAGUGGCCAUGAUAAGUUGGCAGUGAAUAUUCUGUGGCAGAGCUUUCAAAGUCCAACCGAUACAUUCAUUCCUGGGAUGGUAAUGGAUAAAAGCUUGGUGUUGACUUCAUGGAGAGGCGAAGAUGACCCGGAAAGCGGGCGAUUCAUCUUCAAAAAAGAUCCAGUUCGAGAGGACCAGUAAGUCAUCACAAAAUCAAAAUCAGAUUUAGAAUCGAUUCUGUACUGGAAAGGCGGAGAACGGGCAACCGAUACAUUUUACAGCUUUGAUCAAAUGCUUCCUGCAGUUACUUACUCAUUAUCAAAUUUCAGCAAGAAAUAUGUUGUUGGAAAUUCCAGCAAGGUUUUCAGUUCUCCGAGUCAAAACUCUUCUUAUAAAAACCCAGGAAUUCCUCCACGAUCAGAAUACAAUUAUACAAGGUUGGUGAUUAAUAUUACUGGAGAGAUACAGUUUUGGACGUGGAUUAAUUCCACAAAGCGGUGGAAUUUGAAUUGGUCGGCGCCAAGAGAUGAAUGUAGUGUGUUUAAUGCUUGCGGCUACUUUGGCAGCUGCAAUAGUAAUAAUAGGCCGCUGCUGUGCAAAUGUUUGCCAGGUUUCAAGCCCCAGUAUCUACAGCAGUGGAAUUCUGGAGACUUUUCAGGUGGAUGCAAAAGAGACUCUGCAUUAUGUGGCAACAACAAGAUUGAUACCUUCUUGAGCUUGAAGAAGAUGAAAGUGGGAAACCCAGAUUCAAAAAUCAACGUUGAAAAAGAAGAAGAAUGCAGGAACGGGUGCUUAAAUAGCUGCCAGUGCAAGGCCUAUUCAUAUGCUAUAUCUGGAGAGUAUAGUAAUCGAAGGGAUGCUUCAUUGUGCAAAAUAUGGAACGAGGGAGAUCUAAAUAAUCUUGAAGAAGAGUAUACUGAUGGGGGCCAGGACCUCUCUGUUCGUGUUGCGUUGUCUGAUUUAGGUAUUCUUCCUCUGAAGCUUCCCGAAACUAACAAAUGAAUGUGUGGAUGGCAUAAAUAUUUACCUUGUGAAUUAUGUGUUGUGUUUGGCUCAUAUACUUAUGAGUUGGCAACAAUUUUGAUAGUGUAACUUUCUGCGUGCUACAGGGAAAUGGUAGUAGCCACUUUGUGUUUGUCUUUCGGUUGUGGCAUGGAUGUCUUGUUCAAGAGAAGACAUGGUGACUACCACAAGCAAAGUUGGAAGCAAGACUUGACUUUGUGGUUGCUUGCACACAAUUGUGCAUGUUUUAUUGUGCAUGCAUUAAAUGACAAAUGGAGAAAAGUUGUACUUAAUAGACUAGGUAUAGACUUUGAUGCAUGCUAGGUAGGCUAAGUGAUAAUUAUGUCAUGUGAACUUAAGACUUUUUGGUCUUAUUUGUUGGCAUAGUUGCUAGUGUAUGCCUAUAAUUAGAUGCAAUAUUUGUGCAUUUAGAAAUGCAUUGACAAAGCAUCAAGAGGGAGAGCAUUCGACUCUCUCCUGAGAAAGCAUCCGAAGGAGAACACAAAGGAGAGAAAAUAUAGAGUGAGAGUGAGAAACUCUUGGGGAGAGUGAGGUUCUUGUGAAAAUUCUAUGAGUGGGUGUACAAGGGAUUUGGGAUUGGGCUAUGUCGCUUUAACUCAUGUGUACUUGUACUGUUAUUCUCAUAGUGAAGAGCAAUAUCUCUCCGGGGACGUAGGCAGGUUUUUGCCGAACCUCGUAAAUUUCUCGGUGUCUUUAUUUCUUGUAUUUUAUUCUGUUCAACUGUGAGUGUGAUUUGGUAAAGUUGUAAUCUGAAUCUCGUUUCCGCACUAAUGAAUGGGCCAAGGCACAACAUUAUGAUCAAACCAUUUUCCAGCCAAAAUGCAGAACUGAGAGUGAGCUUCAGUUACAUGAGUUUUAUCUUUAUGCUUUCUGCUGUUUCACGAUAUUCCUUACAUGUAUAUAUCGUUUCAAUUAGCAUGAUUCUAUUUAUAUUUGAUUAAACGCGGGGUUAAACCUUUGUGAACAUAAUUGCAAAAGCAUGAGAUUAUUCGAUGUGGACAUAAAUGAGGUAGCUAUAACAGUCAAUUAAUUACACCUUGUGCAGAAUCAACUGUAAGAGACUGUAAGCCUUGUGGCACAACCAUCAUCCCCUAUCCCCUGAGCACAAGUCCGGAUUGCGGUGACCCCAUGUACUUCCAUUUCAAGUGCGACAACUUCACAGAUCAGGUUAACUUUGACGGACUGAUUCUGGGACUGAAUGAAACCUUGUUUAGAGUAAUUAGCAUUAACUCGAGUUCACAGAGAUUUUUCAUCCAAGGCUUCCAAACCGAAAAUGCAGAUAAAUGUGAUCGUAUGAACAGUGGGGUAAAUUCGCAGAUCAGCACAGCACCGCCAUUUAAAGUAAUAAGUUUGUGUAAUGCUGACCUGGGUAAUUUUAGUUCUGAAGCACUGUCAUCCAGAAGUCCGAUUGUAGUUGAGAUGGGUUGGGAGCCACCUGUGGAACCACCCUGUAUAAAAUCUUCUGACUGCAGGGAUUGGCCACAUUCAAUGUGCAAUCCUGCAAGCGAUGGAAAGAAAAGAUGCCUGUGCGAAAUCAAUUUUCGAUGGAAUGGCUUGAAAUUAAGAUGUACUCAAGGUGAGAAUACCAUGUUAGGCAUAAAAUUUCUGUCAUCCAUGUGCCCUCUUGCAAAUCAAAUUUUUAUGUUGAUAACAGUGCUGCAGAAUCGUUUUAGAUUGUACAAUACAAUAAAAAUGAUUAUAUGACAAUAAUAUUUUCUUUUCCUUCUUGAUCUUCAAGACCAUACGAGAAGAAAAUUACCAUUGUCUCUGAUGAUUGUAGCGGUGCUUUUAAGUGUGAUUUUUCUGGCGUGCAUCGUCAUUUCCAUUUAUAUAUGGAGAAGAAAUAUGACCAACAAACGAGGUAACUGCUUUUCUAUAUGCGUUAUUGUCAUGAAAGAUCUGCAGAGUUGUCCAUAGUUGAUGAGAAUAAAUCUGUUCGAUUCCCUGUAUUAGUUCAAAUAAGACGAGGACAAUUUGAUAGUGAAAGGCGAGUCAAGGAGUUGAUAGACACAAGCGAGUUCAAGGAAGAGGAAGGUAUAGAUGUACCUUUUUUUGAUAUGCAAACUAUACUAGACGCUACAGAUAAUUUCUCAAAUGCAAACAAGCUUGGACAAGGGGGAUACGGGCCUGUUUACAAGGUAAUUGAACAGUUGUUUACCAUUCCUUUGCACUCGAAUCACCUUUAUAUAGCAACACUUGUUGUCAUUAAUGUUUAUCUGUUGGUUAGUUCUAAAUUUAUAUGUAAGGGAUUUUGUUGCCAGGGAAUGUUUAUUGGAGGCCAAGAAAUCGCGGUGAAAAGGCUAUCAAGGGUUUCAGGACAAGGCUUGCAGGAAUUUAGGAAUGAGGUGGUGCUGAUUGCCAAACUUCAACACCGAAACCUUGUUAGACUUAAGGGAUGUUGCAUGAAGGGAGAAGAAAAGAUCUUACUAUAUGAGUACAUGCCUAACAAAAGUUUAGACUUCUUUAUAUUUGGUUCGUUCCAACUCCUCUUUUCAUUAUCUUUUACUGCAUGAUAUGAUUUCUUGAUUGACUUAACUACAAUAGCUUCUAAAUUUUUCUCUAUAUGGAAAAUGGAAAUUCCGCAAGAUCAUACAAAAAGCAUGUUUCUCAACUGGGAGAUGCGUUUUAGCAUCAUUUUAGGAAUCGCUCGAGGGCUUCUUUAUCUUCAUCAAGAUUCCAGAUUGAGGAUCAUUCAUAGAGAUUUGAAAACCAGCAACAUUCUUCUAGAUGAGGAGAUGAACCCCAAAAUAUCUGACUUCGGUUUAGCGAGGAUUGUUGGAGGCAAGGAAACUCAGGCAAACACAAACACUGUAGUUGGAACUUAGUGAGUUACUAAGUUUUGCGUCUAUGAUUUCAUAUUCUUGACCCUUUUAGGUGACAGUGUUUUUGUGCCUGCAUAAGUUACAAAGUUUUUUUUUUUUUUUGAUACAGUGGUUACAUGGCUCCGGAGUAUGCAUUGGAUGGAACUUUCUCAGUGAAAUCAGAUGUCUUUAGCUUUGACGUGGUUCGUCUUGAGAUAAUCAGCGGAAAAAAGAACACAGGCUUUUACCAAUCCGAACAAACUUUCAGCCUCAUAAAUUAUGUAAGACAGCAAGUGCGUCGAAUAUUUCAUAUCCAUUUUUAACCCCAAUUUACACUUGCAUCAGUCUUGAAUUUUACCAUUUUCCCAGGCAUGGAGACUCUGGACAGAAAACAAGGUGCUGGAUUUAAUGGACAAGAUUUUGGACGAAAGUUGCAACAAAACCCAGUUUAUCCAGUGUGUCAAUGUCGGUCUCUUAUGCGUACAAGAAGAUCCAAACGAUCGGCCCGCCAUGUCAAACGUUAUCACCCUGCUUGACAAUGAAACUGCAACCUCUCCAUCUCCUAAACAACCAGGGUUUCUCACAAGGGGAGGCAAAUACAGCACAGCUUCUUCUUCUAGUAAGCCAGAAGCUAUAUCUGAAAUAACCACCAGUAUAGUAGAAGGUAGAUAAUUAAAGGACGGUUGAUACU